RNAcentral lists this ribosomal RNA (504 nucleotides) under Harpadon nehereus (Bombay duck fish). Its description in RNAcentral is "partial small subunit ribosomal RNA". It matches the Rfam family "Bacterial large subunit ribosomal RNA", at positions 1845 to 2545 of the family's 2925-position model. The record is from RNAcentral. Lineage: Eukaryota; Metazoa; Chordata; Actinopteri; Aulopiformes; Synodontidae.
AUAGGAAGUUACCGCCUGCCCUGUGACUUCAGAGUUUAACGGCCGCGGUAUCUUGACCGUGCGAAGGUAGCGCAAUCACUUGUCCCUUAAAUGGGGACCCGUAUGAAUGGCAUAACGAGGGCUCAACUGUCUCCCUCCCCCAGUCAAUGAAAUUGAUUUCCCCGUGCAGAAGCGGGGAUUUUACCAUAAGACGAGAAGACCCUAUGGAGCUUUAGACAUCAAGCAGCCUACGACAAGCAGCCGUGUAAAACAGCUACAAACAACGUUAACCCUCCUGAACUGUCUUUGGUUGGGGCGACCGUGGGAUAAAAUUAACCUCCCAUGAGGACCGGAAUUAACCUUCCAGAACUAAGGGCCACUGCCCUAAGCAACAGAAACUCUGACCUAAAUGAUCCGGCCCACCGCCGAUCAACGGACCGAGUUACCCUAGGGAUAACAGCGCAAUCCCCUCCUAGAGCCCCCAUCGACGAGAGGGUUUACGACCUCGAUGUUGGAUCAGGACAU